RNAcentral lists this ribosomal RNA (468 nucleotides) under uncultured bacterium. RNAcentral describes it as "partial 16S ribosomal RNA". It matches the Rfam family "Bacterial small subunit ribosomal RNA", at positions 28 to 507 of the family's 1533-position model. The record is from RNAcentral.
GACGAACGCUGGCGGCGUGCUUAACACAUGCAAGUCGAACGGAAAGGCCCUGCUUUUGUGGGGUGCUCGAUUGGCGAACGGGUGAGUAACACGUGAGUAACCUGCCCUUGACUUUGGGAUAACUUCACGAAACUGGGGCUACUACCGGAUCGGAGCUCCUGCUGCAUGGUGGGGGUUGGAAAUUUUCGGCGGUUGGGGUUGGACUCGCGGCUGAUCAGCUUGUUGGUGGGGUAGUGGCUUACCAAGCCUUUGACGGGUAGCCGGCCUGAGAGGGUGACCGGCCACAUGGGGACUGCGAUACGGCCCAGACUCCUACGGGAGGCAGCAGUGGGGAAUAUUGCACAAUGGGCGGAAGCCUGAUGCAGCAACGCCGCGUGCGGGAUGACGGCCUUCGGGUUGUAAACCGCUUUCGCCUGUGACGAAGCGUGAGUGACGGUAAUGGGUAAAGAAGCACCGGCUAACUACGUG